UACGGAGGGUGCGAGCGUUAUCCGGAUUUACUGGGUUUAAAGGGUGUGUAGGCGGGCUGUUAAGUCAGUGGUGAAAUCUCCGGGCUCAACCCGGAACUGCCAAUGAUACUAAUAGUCUUGAAUGUUGUUGAGGUAGGCGGAAUAUGUCAUGUAGCGGUGAAAUGCUUAGAGAUGACAUAGAACACCGAUUGCGAAGGCAGCUUGCUAAACAAAUAUUGACGCUGAGGCACGAAAGCGUGGGGAUCAAACAGG
Molecule: ribosomal RNA, 252 nt
Filed under: uncultured bacterium
Lineage: Bacteria
Description: partial 16S ribosomal RNA
Rfam family: Bacterial small subunit ribosomal RNA
Source: RNAcentral